GGGGAAUAUUGGACAAUGGGCGAAAGCCUGAUCCAGCCAUGCCGCGUGUGUGAAGAAGGUCUUCGGAUUGUAAAGCACUUUAAGUUGGGAGGAAGGGCUGUCGGCUAAUACCCUGCAGUUUUGACGUUACCAACAGAAUAAGCACCGGCUAACUUCGUGCCAGCAGCCGCGGUAAUACGAAGGGUGCAAGCGUUAAUCGGAAUUACUGGGCGUAAAGCGCGCGUAGGUGGUUCAGCAAGUUGGAUGUGAAAGCCCCGGGCUCAACCUGGGAACUGCAUCCAAAACUACUGAGCUAGAGUACGGUAGAGGGUGGUGGAAUUUCCUGUGUAGCGGUGAAAUGCGUAGAUAUAGGAAGGAACACCAGUGGCGAAGGCGACCACCUGGACUGAUACUGACACUGAGGUGCGAAAGCGUGGGGAGCAAAC
Molecule: ribosomal RNA, 425 nt
Filed under: uncultured bacterium
Lineage: Bacteria
Description: bacterial SSU rRNA
Rfam family: Bacterial small subunit ribosomal RNA
Source: RNAcentral